This 381-nucleotide ribosomal RNA is filed under the name uncultured marine Chaetocerotaceae. RNAcentral describes it as "SSU rRNA". It matches the Rfam family "Eukaryotic small subunit ribosomal RNA", at positions 587 to 972 of the family's 1831-position model. Lineage: Eukaryota; Bacillariophyta; Thalassiosirophyceae; Chaetocerotales; Chaetocerotaceae. The record is from RNAcentral.
AGCUCCAAUAGCGUAUAUUAAAGUUGCUGCAGUUAAAAAGCUCGUAGUUGCAUUUCCGAGGCAAGGGAUUAGUCCGACCUUUGGUGGGUAUUUAAUCCUCUUGCCUCGUCCUUGAGUGGUGCUUCUUGGUAUUAAGUUAUCGAGGAGAUAGCCGCUCAUCGUUUACUGUGAGAAAAUUAGAGUGUUCAAAGCAGGCUUAUGCCGUUGAAUAUAUUAGCAUGGAAUAAUAAGAUAGGACCUCGGUACUAUUUUGUUGGUUUGAGAACCGAGGUAAUGAUGAAUAGGGACAGUUGGGGGUAUUCGUAUUCAGUUGUCAGAGGUGAAAUUCUUAGAUUUACUGAAGACGAACUACUGCGAAAGCAUUUACCAAGGAUGUUUUCA